Molecule: ribosomal RNA, 872 nt
Filed under: Pavlova sp. CCMP459
Lineage: Eukaryota; Haptophyta; Pavlovophyceae; Pavlovales; Pavlovaceae
Description: partial Bacterial small subunit ribosomal RNA
Rfam family: Bacterial small subunit ribosomal RNA
Source: RNAcentral
ACGGAGAGUUUGAUCCUGGCUCAGGACGAACGCUGGCGGCGUGCUUAACACAUGCAAGUCGAACGGUAAGGCCCCUUCGGGGGUACACGAGUGGCGAACGGGUGAGUAACACGUGAGCAACCUGCCCUUGACUUCGGAAUACCAGCUGGAAACAGCUGCUAAUACCGGAUAUGACACUUGCCCUCCUGGGUGGGUGUGGAAAGCUCCGGCGGUCAGGGAUGGGCUCGCGGCCUAUCAGCUUGUUGGUGAGGUAAUGGCUCACCAAGGCUUCGACGGGUAGCCGGCCUGAGAGGGCGACCGGCCACACUGGGACUGAGAUACGGCCCAGACUCCUACGGGAGGCAGCAGUGGGGAAUAUUGCACAAUGGGCGGAAGCCUGAUGCAGCAACGCCGCGUGCGGGAUGACGGCCUUCGGGUUGUAAACCGCUUUCAGUAGGGACGAAGCUAACGUGACGGUACCUACAGAAGAAGGACCGGCUAACUACGUGCCAGCAGCCGCGGUGAUACGUAGGGUGCGAGCGUUGUCCGGAUUUAUUGGGCGUAAAGGGCUCGUAGGUGGUUGAUCGCGUCGGAAGUGUAAUCUUGGGGCUUAACCCUGAGCGUGCUUUCGAUACGGGUUGACUUGAGGAAGGUAGGGGAGAAUGGAAUUCCUGGUGGAGCGGUGGAAUGCGCAGAUAUCAGGAGGAACACCGAUGGCGAAGGCAGGUCUCUGGGCUGUUACUGACGCUGAGGAGCGAAAGCAUGGGGAGCGAACAGGAUUAGAUACCCUGGUAGUCCACGCCGUAAACGUUGGGCGCUAGAUGUAGGGACCUUUCCACGGUUUCUGUGUCGUAGCUAACGCAUUAAGCGCCCCGCCUGGGGAGUACGGCCGC